UCGAACGGAUAUCUUCGGAUAUGAGUGGCGAACGGGUGAGUAACACGUACGCGUCCUGCCUGCAUGAGCGGGAGAACUUCUGGAAACGGAAGCUGAUACCGGAUGAGCAAAGAGGAGGCAUCUUCUUUUUGGAAAAGGGGACAAGAGUCCCGCAUGCAGAUGGACCUGCGGUGCAUUAGCUGGUUGGAGAGGUAACGGCUCACCAAGGCGACGAUGCAUAGCCGGCCUGAGAGGGCGGACGGCCACACUGGGACUGAGACACGGCCCAGACUCCUGCGGGAGGCAGCAGUAGGGAAUUUUCGUCAAUGGGGGGAACCCUGAACGAGCAAUGCCGCGUGAGCGAGGAAGGUCUUCGGAUCGUAAAGCUCUGUUGCCGGGGGCAAAAGGCAGAAAGAGUGGAAAGCUUUCUGAGUGAUGGUACCCGGCGAGGAAGUCACGGCUAACUACGUGCCAGCAGCCGCGGUAAUACGUAGGUGGCGAGCGUUAUCCGGAAUGAUUGGGCGUAAAGGGUGCGCAGGCGGCCGGGCAAGUCCGCAGUAAAAACUGGAGGCUCAACCUUCAGGGGCUGCGGAAACUGUCCGGCUGGAGAGCAGGAGAGGACGGUGGAACUCCAUGUGUAGCGGUAAAAUGCGUAGAUAUAUGGAAGAACACCGGUGGCGAAGGCGGCCGUCUGGCCUGCAUCUGACGCUGAGGCACGAA
Molecule: ribosomal RNA, 699 nt
Filed under: uncultured bacterium
Lineage: Bacteria
Description: bacterial SSU rRNA
Rfam family: Bacterial small subunit ribosomal RNA
Source: RNAcentral